CAGCAUCUAGUAUGCAUUAGUCAUUUGUCAGGCCAUCAUUCUCCCUUUUCAUAUUCCAUAAUUUACCCAGCCAUUCUCCAAUUGAUGGGCAUCCACUCAGUUUCCAGCUUCUAGCCACCACAAACAGGGCUGCCACAAACAUUCUUGUACAUACAAGUCCCUUUCCCUUCUUUAGUAUCUCUUUGGGAUAUAAGCCCAGUAGAAACACUGCUGGAUCAAAGGGUAUGCACAGUUUUGUAGCCCGUUGGGCAUAGUUCCAAAUUGCUCUCCAGAAUGGCUGGAUGUGUUCACAAUUCCACCAACAAUGUAUCAGUGUCCCAGUUUUCCCGCAUCCCCUCCAACAAUCAUCAUUGUCUUUUCCUGUCAUUUUAGCUAAUCUGACAGGUGUGGAGUGGUGUCUCAAGUUGUCUUAAUUUGCAUUUCUCUGAUCAAGAGUUAUUGGAGCACCUUUUCAUGUGGCUACAAAUAGCUUCAGUUUCUUCAUCUGACAAUUGUCUGUUCAUAUCCUUUGACCAUUUAUCAAGUGGAGAACAGCAUUCUCCCUUUUUCGCCAAAAAUCUGUUAGUGGAUGAUGUCUGGGCCAGAAACCAAAAAUAUUCAGGUUCUUGAACCAACUUGCUUGUAAUCUUAGUCAAUGUGCUACCCUUUUCUAGACUUUACUUGCUCCCUCUGUAAUUUGAAAUGCUUGGACAAAUGGUCUCAGAAGGCCAUUUCAGCCCUGACCUUCUAGGAUUCUGUAACUCCAAGUGAAUAGUUAUAUGACUUUGGCCAAGGCAUUGCUUCUCCUGGGUCCCAGGUUUCUCAUGUGAAAAAUGAAAGGGUUCUAUCAAAUUCCUUUUAGCUCUGACAUCCCACGUUCUAAGGGCCUUCCCAGCUCUGACAGACUAGUUUCUAAGCACCCUCCAACUCUGGCUUCCUCUGAAAAGUCAGAAAAUAGAGCCUUUUCUAGAUCUAGCAUUCUAUAUUUUAAGGUCUCUUUCAGUUCCAACAGGGUGUUUUCCAAAGUUCUAAUGAUACCCUUUGGGCUCCAUUCUGUAUCCCGAAGUCCCCUGGCUUUUUGGGCAAAGUGCUGAAUUUGGAGCCAAGAUCACUGGAAUCCUGUCUCCCAUUCUUCCCAGCUGUGUGAGCCUGACCAAAUCCCCACCUCUUGGGCCCUGCUUUUCUCAUUUCUGAAACCAAGAUUGCGAUAAGACCACAUCGAUAAAAAGCUUUGCAAACCUUAGAGACGACAGACAUGGUUAUGAUGAUGAUCAGCUGCUCUCCCCCCAGGAGUCAGUGAUGGUCCCUCCCAUGUGCUCAUGCCCCUCCCUCAGCUAUAUCUACCACUAUCUCUCUUCUGAGGCAAAAGCUUCUGGCAGGUCCAGCCUGGAGGAACAGCAGCUGUGCACAAAGACUCCAAGAUGAAGGCUUUCUUCCUCCUCCUCCUCCUUUGCCUUGGGGCCAUGAUUCAGAUCGAGGCCUCCACCAUGACACCAACAACCCCAGCAACGACGGGCCAGUCACCUCAGCUGUUCCAUGGACCCUUUACCUGGAGCAUCCUCCUCCUCACCGGAGUCCUCACUUACCUCCUUCAGCUACACUGAGGCCUGGGACCGAGACUGCAGCCCUGGCCCCUGAGAGCUCCCUCUUCUGGGCCCACCCUCCCAGCACCUGCAGCCCUCCUCAGCUGAACAUCCCAUGGCCUCCUGAGGAGCUCCCAUGCUCAGGAUAGCACCUGUCAGCCAGGGUCAGGGAUUGAUUUCGCUCCACACUCCAAGGGUUAUAGUGAUGAGAGAGCAAAGCACCGACCUGCUUGACUCAAUAAAGCCAUUAAAGCCUGA
Molecule: long non-coding RNA, 1820 nt
Organism: Antechinus flavipes (yellow-footed antechinus)
Lineage: Eukaryota; Metazoa; Chordata; Mammalia; Dasyuromorphia; Dasyuridae
Exons: 2
Source: RefSeq, a predicted model, not a curated record